This 393-nucleotide ribosomal RNA is filed under the name uncultured bacterium. RNAcentral's name for it is "partial 16S ribosomal RNA". It matches the Rfam family "Bacterial small subunit ribosomal RNA", at positions 523 to 918 of the family's 1533-position model. The record is from RNAcentral.
AUACGGAGGAUCCGAGCGUUAUCCGGAUUUAUUGGGUUUAAAGGGAGCGUAGGUGGAUUGUUAAGUCAGUUGUGAAAGUUUGCGGCUCAACCGUAAAAUUGCAGUUGAAACUGGGAGUCUUGAGUACAGUAGAGGUGGGCGGAAUUCGUGGUGUAGCGGUGAAAUGCUUAGAUAUCACGAAGAACUCCGAUUGCGAAGGCAGCUCACUAGACUGUUACUGACACUGAUGCUCGAAAGUGUGGGUAUCAAACAGGAUUAGAUACCCUGGUAGUCCACACAGUAAACGAUGAAUACUCGCUGUUUGCGAUAUACAGUAAGCGGCCAAGCGAAAGCAUUAAGUAUUCCACCUGGGGAGUACGCCGGCAACGGUAAAACUCAAAUGAAUCGACGGGG